GCAGUCGAGCGGUAGCACAGAGAGCUUGCUCUCGGGUGACGAGCGGCGGACGGGUGAGUAAUGUCUGGGAAACUGCCUGAUGGAGGGGGAUAACUACUGGAAACGGUAGCUAAUACCGCAUAAUGUCGCAAGACCAAAGUGGGGGACCUUCGGGCCUCAUGCCAUCAGAUGUGCCCAGAUGGGAUUAGCUAGUAGGUGGGGUAACGGCUCACCUAGGCGACGAUCCCUAGCUGGUCUGAGAGGAUGACCAGCCACACUGGAACUGAGACACGGUCCAGACUCCUACGGGAGGCAGCAGUGGGGAAUAUUGCACAAUGGGCGCAAGCCUGAUGCAGCCAUGCCGCGUGUGUGAAGAAGGCCUUCGGGUUGUAAAGCACUUUCAGCGGGGAGGAAGGCGUUAAGGUUAAUAACCUUGGCGAUUGACGUUACCCGCAGAAGAAGCACCGGCUAACUCCGUGCCAGCAGCCGCGGUAAUACGGAGGGUGCAAGCGUUAAUCGGAAUUACUGGGCGUAAAGCGCACGCAGGCGGUCUGUCAAGUCGGAUGUGAAAUCCCCGGGCUCAACCUGGGAACUGCAUUCGAAACUGGCAGGCUAGAGUCUUGUAGAGGGGGGUAGAAUUCCAGGUGUAGCGGUGAAAUGCGUAGAGAUCUGGAGGAAUACCGGUGGCGAAGGCGGCCCCCUGGACAAAGACUGACGCUCAGGUGCGAAAGCGUGGGGAGCAAACAGGAUUAGAUACCCUGGUAGUCCACGCCGUAAACGAUGUCGAUUUGGAGGUUGUGCCCUUGAGGCGUGGCUUCCGGAGCUAACGCGUUAAAUCGACCGCCUGGGGAGUACGGCCGCAAGGUUAAAACUCAAAUGAAUUGACGGGGGCCCGCACAAGCGGUGGAGCAUGUGGUUUAAUUCGAUGCAACGCGAAGAACCUUACCUGGUCUUGACAUCCACAGAACUUAGCAGAGAUGCUUUGGUGCCUUCGGGAACUGUGAGACAGGUGCUGCAUGGCUGUCGUCAGCUCGUGUUGUGAAAUGUUGGGUUAAGUCCCGCAACGAGCGCAACCCUUAUCCUUUGUUGCCAGCGGUCCGGCCGGGAACUCAAAGGAGACUGCCAGUGAUAAACUGGAGGAAGGUGGGGAUGACGUCAAGUCAUCAUGGCCCUUACGACCAGGGCUACACACGUGCUACAAUGGCAUAUACAAAGAGAAGCGACCUCGCGAGAGCAAGCGGACCUCAUAAAGUAUGUCGUAGUCCGGAUUGGAGUCUGCAACUCGACUCCAUGAAGUCGGAAUCGCUAGUAAUCGUAGAUCAGAA
This 1304-nucleotide ribosomal RNA is filed under the name uncultured Klebsiella sp. RNAcentral describes it as "bacterial SSU rRNA". It matches the Rfam family "Bacterial small subunit ribosomal RNA", at positions 57 to 1354 of the family's 1533-position model. The record is from RNAcentral. Lineage: Bacteria; Pseudomonadati; Pseudomonadota; Gammaproteobacteria; Enterobacterales; Enterobacteriaceae.